RNAcentral lists this ribosomal RNA (1379 nucleotides) under Psychrobacter sp. EB244. RNAcentral's name for it is "16S ribosomal RNA". It matches the Rfam family "Bacterial small subunit ribosomal RNA". The record is from RNAcentral. Lineage: Bacteria; Pseudomonadati; Pseudomonadota; Gammaproteobacteria; Moraxellales; Moraxellaceae.
AGCUUGCUACCAGGCGUCGAGCGGCGGACGGGUGAGUAAUACUUAGGAAUCUACCUAGUAGUGGGGGAUAGCUCGGGGAAACUCGAAUUAAUACCGCAUACGACCUACGGGAGAAAGGGGGCAGUUUACUGCUCUCGCUAUUAGAUGAGCCUAAGUCGGAUUAGCUAGAUGGUGGGGUAAAGGCCUACCAUGGCGACGAUCUGUAGCUGGUCUGAGAGGAUGAUCAGCCACACCGGGACUGAGACACGGCCCGGACUCCUACGGGAGGCAGCAGUGGGGAAUAUUGGACAAUGGGGGAAACCCUGAUCCAGCCAUGCCGCGUGUGUGAAGAAGGCCUUUUGGUUGUAAAGCACUUUAAGCAGUGAAGAAGACUCCGUGGUUAAUACCCACGGACGAUGACAUUAGCUGCAGAAUAAGCACCGGCUAACUCUGUGCCAGCAGCCGCGGUAAUACAGAGGGUGCAAGCGUUAAUCGGAAUUACUGGGCGUAAAGGGAGCGUAGGUGGCUCGAUAAGUCAGAUGUGAAAUCCCCGGGCUCAACCUGGGAACUGCAUCUGAUACUGUUGAGCUAGAGUAUGUGAGAGGAAGGUAGAAUUCCAGGUGUAGCGGUGAAAUGCGUAGAGAUCUGGAGGAAUACCGAUGGCGAAGGCAGCCUUCUGGCAUAAUACUGACACUGAGGCUCGAAAGCGUGGGUAGCAAACAGGAUUAGAUACCCUGGUAGUCCACGCCGUAAACGAUGUCUACUAGUCGUUGGGUCCCUUGAGGACUUAGUGACGCAGCUAACGCAAUAAGUAGACCGCCUGGGGAGUACGGCCGCAAGGUUAAAACUCAAAUGAAUUGACGGGGGCCCGCACAAGCGGUGGAGCAUGUGGUUUAAUUCGAUGCAACGCGAAGAACCUUACCUGGUCUUGACAUAUCUAGAAUCCUGCAGAGAUGCGGGAGUGCCUUCGGGAAUUAGAAUACAGGUGCUGCAUGGCUGUCGUCAGCUCGUGUCGUGAGAUGUUGGGUUAAGUCCCGCAACGAGCGCAACCCUUGUCCUUAGUUACCAGCGGGUUAAGCCGGGAACUCUAAGGAUACUGCCAGUGACAAACUGGAGGAAGGCGGGGACGACGUCAAGUCAUCAUGGCCCUUACGACCAGGGCUACACACGUGCUACAAUGGUAGGUACAGAGGGCAGCUACACAGCGAUGUGAUGCGAAUCUCAAAAAGCCUAUCGUAGUCCAGAUUGGAGUCUGCAACUCGACUCCAUGAAGUAGGAAUCGCUAGUAAUCGCGGAUCAGAAUGCCGCGGUGAAUACGUUCCCGGGCCUUGUACACACCGCCCGUCACACCAUGGGAGUUGAUUGCACCAGAAGUGGAUAGCUUAACCUUCGGGGGAGCG